UACGGAGGGCGCAAGCGUUGUUCGGAAUCACUGGGCGUAAAGCGCGUGUAGGCGGCCGGGCAAGUCGGAUGUGAAAUCCCGAGGCUCAACCUCGGAUCUGCAUUCGAAACUGCUCGGCUCGAGUCCCGGAGAGGAUGGCGGAAUUCCCGGUGUAGGGGUGAAAUCCGUAGAUAUCGGGAGGAACACCAGCGGCGAAGGCGGCCAUCUGGACGGUGACUGACGCUGAGACGCGAAAGCGUGGGGAGCAAACAGG
This 253-nucleotide ribosomal RNA is filed under the name uncultured bacterium. RNAcentral describes it as "partial 16S ribosomal RNA". It matches the Rfam family "Bacterial small subunit ribosomal RNA", at positions 524 to 776 of the family's 1533-position model. The record is from RNAcentral.